This 289-nucleotide ribosomal RNA is filed under the name uncultured bacterium. Its description in RNAcentral is "partial 16S ribosomal RNA". It matches the Rfam family "Bacterial small subunit ribosomal RNA", at positions 333 to 614 of the family's 1533-position model. The record is from RNAcentral.
UCUUCCCUACGGGGGGCAGCAGUAGGGAAUUUUCGUCAAUGGGCGCAAGCCUGAACGAGCGAUGCCGCGUGAGUGAAGAAGGCCUUCGGGUCGUAAAGCUCCGUUCCGGGGGAACCAAGGCAGCAUCAGGAAAUGGGUGCUGACUGAUGGUGCCCCGCCAGAAAGUCACCGCUACCUACGUGCCAGCAGCCGCGGUAAUACGUAGGUGGCGACCUCCAUCCGGAAUGAUUGGGCGUAAAGGGUGCGCAGGCGGCCCUGCAAGUCUGGAGUGAAACGCAUGAGCUCAACU